UCGAGCGGUAGCACAGAGAGCUUGCUCUCGGGUGACGAGCGGCGGACAGGUGAGUAAUGUCUGGGAAACUGCCUGAUGGAGGGGGAUAACUACUGGAAACGGUUGCUAAUACCGCAUAAUGUCCCAAGACCAAAGUGGGGGACCUUCGGGCCUCUUGCCAUCAGAUGUGCCCAGAUGGGAUUAGCUAUUAGGUGGGGUAACGGCUCACCUAGGCGACGAUCCCUAUCUGGUCUGAGAGGAUGACCAGCCACACUGGAACUGAGACACGGUCCAGACUCCUACGGGAGGCAGCAGUGGGGAAUAUUGCACAAUGGGCGCAAGCCUGAUGCAGCCAUGCCGCGUGUAUGAAGAAGGCCUUCGGGUUGUAAAGUACUUUCAGCGGGGAGGAAGGCUAUAACGUUAAUAACCUUGUCGAUUGACGUUACCCGCAGAAGAAGCACCGGCUAACUCCGUGCCAGCAGCCGCGGUAAUACGGAGGGUGCAAGCGUUAAUCGGAAUUACUGGGCGUAAAGCGCACGCAGGCGGUCUGUCAAGUCUGAUGUGAAAUCCCCGGGCUCAACCUGGGAACUGCAUUCGAAACUGGCAGGCUAGAGUCUUGUAGAGGGGGGUAGAAUUCCACGUGUAGCGGUGAAAUGCUGUAGAGAUCUGGAGGAGUACCAGCUGGUCGAAGGACGCCCCCUCUGGUACAAACGACUGACGCUCAUGAUGCGAAAGCGUGGUGGAGCAAACAGGAUUAUAUACUCCUGGUAGUCCUACGCCGUAAACGAUGAUCGAUUUCGGAGGUUGUGCCCGUU
Molecule: ribosomal RNA, 794 nt
Filed under: uncultured bacterium
Lineage: Bacteria
Description: bacterial SSU rRNA
Rfam family: Bacterial small subunit ribosomal RNA
Source: RNAcentral